This 528-nucleotide ribosomal RNA is filed under the name uncultured bacterium. RNAcentral describes it as "bacterial SSU rRNA". It matches the Rfam family "Bacterial small subunit ribosomal RNA", at positions 335 to 864 of the family's 1533-position model. The record is from RNAcentral.
CACCUACGGGUGGCAGCAGUAAGGAAUAUUGGUCAAUGGACGAAAGUCUGAACCAGCCAUGCCGCGUGAAGGAUGAAGGCCCUCUGGGUUGUAAACUUCUUUUACAGGGGACGAAAAAAGGGAAUUCUUUCUCACUUGACGGUACCCUGGGAAUAAGCACCGGCUAACUCCGUGCCAGCAGCCGCGGUAAUACGGAGGGUGCAAGCGUUAUCCGGAUUCACUGGGUUUAAAGGGUGCGUAGGUGGGCUUGUAAGUCAGCGGUGAAAUCUCCGGGCUUAACCCGGAAACUGCCAUUGAUACUAUAAGUCUUGAAUUAUCUGGAGGUAAGCGGAAUAUGUCAUGUAGCGGUGAAAUGCUUAGAUAUGACAUAGAACACCAAUUGCGAAGGCAGCUUACUACGGAUACAUUGACACUGAGGCACGAAAGCGUGGGGAUCAAACAGGAUUAGAUACCCUGGUAGUCCACGCCCUAAACUAUGGAUACUCGACAUUUGUGAUAUACUAUAAGUGUCUGAGCGAAAGCAUUAAG